UGAAUCAAAGGAACCAGCGUUGUCCCUGACGAUGGACAUUUCAGUCAAAUGUUGAGAACAACAUUUAGGUAAAUGUUGGGAAACAAGAUUUAGCCGUUUUAGCCCAUAAACAAAGUGCUUACUUUUGUGUUUGUGAUUUAAAAAAAAACGAAUCGAUUCUUCAGAGUCGUUUAAAAGAGUCACUCAAACAGGAUGAUUCGCGAGGCGAAUCGCCGCUCAGCCUCAGCAGCGUCACUCUCCGGUGUGCACACCAGCAGUGUGGCAGUGAUGAUGAUGAUGAUGAUGAAGACAGGGAUGGAAAUAUAGCCCAGGGCUGAGUGAGUCUGAGCAAAAACUGGAUACGACACAUCUCACCGGUUCAUCCACAAAUCCAGCAGUGCAGCCGAGCUCAUGGGGAAGAAGGUGCUGCAGUGUUUUCCCUGGUAUAAACGCUGUAAAGGCCAGGGCACCGGCAGGCUUUGCCCUCCGCAGGCCGUUCCCUCCAGCGAGGUACAGCCUGUCUUCCCUCCCUCCAUCCCGUGGGCGUGCAACGGUGAGGGAGGCAGAACACGGCCCGUUUACUUUUCACACAAGGCCCGGGUCACCUAUCGGCACCAGAUGGACGGAAAUAUUAUCGACGCCACCUGCUGACCUUUGGGCUCAUUUCCCAGAAUUCCCCACACUGAGAAUAGCUGCAUUGAGCUGGCUCGGUUCAAAUGUGUCCAUCUUUUCAUUGUCAGAUUUGUUGCCUUUCCGUUUAUCUUAUUUUUGGCAAUAAUACAGAGCGAGUCAAAAGUCACAGGACAGGUUUUAUUUUAUUUUAGCUUUUAUUUUAUUAUGGACUUUUAUCUCUGGGGUCAUCUCAAACGGAUUGUGUAUGCUGAGGAAAUCCACAACAAGCGCCACCUUCAGCACCGCGUCGUGGAGGCAUAAAAAAUAAAAUAAAAUAAAAUAAAACUGUGUCCUGUGACUUUUGACUCACCCUGUAGUGUAAUAUAUCAUUGCUGUCCAAAACUAAAACACGUACUAUUUUUUUCUAUUUUUAUUUUUGUACAUCAUCAGAGCACAGCAGCUUCCCUUCACACUGCGUGAACAUCUCAUCACGAUUUGAACAGAAAUGCUAUGAAACAGGUUGGAGUUAAAUAUCUUUACACUUCCAUUCAAACUGAAGCGUUUUGAUCUCUCCUGUCAAGUUCCUACUUUUCUUUAAACAGCGAUGAUAUUUUAUUCAUGUGGAAAUGACGCACACGCCUGAAAGCCAGCUGAAUGCAGCACUUCUUCCAGUGUGCUCGGUCAUCUCUGUGGUCAGGAGGAGGAGGAAGGAGAGGACAAUGGAAUUUAACGUGGGAGUGAAAAGGAGUUGAGAUCUGUUGCAGCAACACGGCGCUGCGUUUUCCUCCCCCUACAACUGUGUAUCUUCGGUUACUGUAAUCAAGGCCAGCUGGAUCCUUUCUGCCGGACCUGGACUGAUUAUGCAUGGUUGGGACAGACGUCAUGUGACCACAAAGGCCAGAGUGUUUCAGACUCUAUCAUUAAAAAAAAGAAAAGAAAAAGUUUACUUAUAUAACCUGCAUCGUAUAUUUUGCUGUUUUCCUCAUCCUGUUCCUCAUGUCUUAGCAAGAUACUACAGAUGGUCUUGAAAACUGUACUUUUUGACACAUCUGUGCAUCCAGUUAAAGGGAAAUUCCAGGGAUUAUCCAAAAAUUUCUCUGUAAUGAAGUGGUUACGAUGUAAACAGAGUUGUUCAGAGUGGUUUGGUGAUAGGAACCAGACGUCCCCCUCUAAAAUCUCCCUCACAGAGGGUUAUUACAAGAAAUGGAAAUGCAUUGACUGGAGACACCUGGGUCUCUACAAUGGGCCAUUUUCAGUUCCGACAGCUCUGAAUGACUUUGUUUACAUCUCGCCACUGAAUUAAGCAGAAAUUUUGAAAGUUGGGUGGAAUUCCCCUUUAACGUCAACCCAUAUUUGGUGUUACUGAACAUAAGGGAUGCGCAGUGUGUGUCAUUUGUUAAUCCAUAUUGUGGUGUUAGCCUUUACAAUACGGAUAUCACAGAAGGCCCCAGUGUGCAAAUGAUCCCUCGAGCCACUUUGAGCAGCUUGACCGGUCACAGCUUCACUUGGCUACCAGAAGGCAGUAAUUUUGGUUGAAAUACUGCAGAGCAAGAGCAAAAUCAAGGCAUAUCACAGCUGCAGGAUGUAGCCAUGCAGUCACAGCGCAUAUUAAAAUGGGCUAUUUGAUGCGAAGAGUGGCUCGGUGGCGCUGUCGCCUCACAGCAAGGAGGGCCUGGGUUCGAGUCCCCGGCCGGGUAACCAGGGUCCUCUCUGUGUGGAGUCUGCAUGUUCUCCCCGUGUCUGUGUGGGUUUCCUCCCACAGUCC
Molecule: long non-coding RNA, 2356 nt
Organism: Pygocentrus nattereri (red-bellied piranha)
Lineage: Eukaryota; Metazoa; Chordata; Actinopteri; Characiformes; Serrasalmidae
Exons: 3
Source: RefSeq, a predicted model, not a curated record